This 751-nucleotide ribosomal RNA is filed under the name uncultured archaeon. RNAcentral's name for it is "bacterial SSU rRNA". It matches the Rfam family "Archaeal small subunit ribosomal RNA", at positions 13 to 772 of the family's 1478-position model. The record is from RNAcentral.
CCUGCCGGACCCGACUGCUAUCAGAGUGGGACUAAGCCAUGCGAGUCAACGCAGCAAUGCGUGGCACACGGCUCAGUAACACGUAGUCAACAUGCCCAGGGGACGUGGAUAACCUCGGGAAACUGAGGAUAAACCGCGAUAGGCCAAGGUUUCUGGAAUGGACACUGGCUGAAACCUACAUGGCCCCUGGAUUGGACUGCGGCCGAUCAGGCUGUUGGUGAGGUAAUGGCCCACCAAACCUGUAACCGGUACGGGCUUUGAGAGAAGGAGCCCGGAGAUGGGCACUGAGACAAGGGCCCAGGCCCUAUGGGGCGCAGCAGGCGCGAAAAUUCUGCAAUAGGCGAAAGCUUGACAGAGUUACUCUGAGUGAUGCCCGCUAAGGGCAUCUUUUGGCACCUCUAAAAAUGGUGCAGAAUAAGGGGUGGGCAAGUCUGGUGUCAGCCGCCGCGGUAAUACCAGCACCCCGAGUGGUCGGGACGAUUAUUGGGCCUAAAGCAUCCGUAGCUUGUUCUGCAAGUCUUCCGUUAAAUCCACCUGCUCAACAGAUGGGCUGCGGGAGAUACUACAGGGCUAGGAGGCGGGAGAGGCAAGCGGUACUCAGUGGGUAGGGGUAAAAUCCUCUGAUCCACUGAAGACCACCAGUGGCGAAGGCGGCUUGCCAGAACGCGCUCGACGGUGAGGGAUGAAAGCUGGGGGAGCAAACCGGAUUAGAUACCCGGGUAGCCCCAGCUGUAAACGAUGCAAUCGGGGA